Molecule: ribosomal RNA, 433 nt
Filed under: uncultured bacterium
Lineage: Bacteria
Description: partial 16S ribosomal RNA
Rfam family: Bacterial small subunit ribosomal RNA
Source: RNAcentral
AACGAACGCUGGCGGCAUGCCUAACACAUGCAAGUCGAACGAGACCUUCGGGUCUAGUGGCGCACGGGUGCGUAACGCGUGGGAACCUGCCCUUAGGUUCGGAAUAACUCCCCGAAAGGGGUGCUAAUACCGGAUAAUGUCUUCGGACCAAAGAUUUAUCGCCUUUGGAUGGGCCCGCGUUGGAUUAGCUAGUUGGUAGGGUAAAAGCCUACCAAGGCGACGAUCCAUAGCUGGUCUGAGAGGAUGAUCAGCCACACUGGGACUGAGACACGGCCCAGACUCCUACGGGAAGCAGAAGUGGGGAAUAUUGGACAAUGGGCGAAAGCCUGAGCCAGCAAUGCCGCGUGAGUGAUGAAGGCCUUAGGGUUGUAAAGCUCUUUUACCCGGGAUGAUAAUGACAGUACCGGGAGAAUAAGCUCCGGCUAACUCCGUG